GGGGAAUAUUGCACAAUGGGCGAAAGCCUGAUGCAGCGACGCCACGUGAGCGAAGAAGUAUUUCGGUAUGUAAAGCUCUAUCAGCAGGGAAGAUAAUGACGGUACCUGACUAAGAAGCACCGGCUAAAUACGUGCCAGCAGCCGCGGUAAUACGUAUGGUGCAAGCGUUAUCCGGAAUUAUUGGGCGUAAAGGGCUCGUAGGCGGUUCGUCGCGUCCGGUGUGAAAGUCCAUCGCUUAACGGUGGAUCCGCGCCGGGUACGGGCGGGCUUGAGUGCGGUAGGGGAGACUGGAAUUCCCGGUGUAACGGUGGAAUGUGUAGAUAUCGGGAAGAACACCAAUGGCGAAGGCAGGUCUCUGGGCCGUUACUGACGCUGAGGAGCGAAAGCGUGGGGAGCGAACAGGAUUAGAUACCCUGGUAGUCCACGCCGUAAACGGUGGAUGCUGGAUGUGGGGCCCGUUCCACGGGUUCCGUGUCGGAGCUAACGCGUUAAGCAUCCCGCCUGGGGAGUACGGCCGCAAGGCUAAAACUCAAAGAAAUUGACGGGGGCCCGCACAAGCGGCGGAGCAUGCGGAUUAAUUCGAUGCAACGCGAAGAACCUUACCUGGGCUUGACAUGUUCCCGACGGUCGUAGAGAUACGGCUUCCCUUCGGGGCGGGUUCACAGGUGGUGCAUGGUCGUCGUCAGCUCGUGUCGUGAGAUGUUGGGUUAAGUCCCGCAACGAGCGCAACCCUCGCCCCGUGUUGCCAGCGGAUUAUGCCGGGAACUCACGGGGGACCGCCGGGGUUAACUCGGAGGAAGGUGGGGAUGACGUCAGAUCAUCAUGCCCCUUACGUCCAGGGCUUCACGCAUGCUACAAUGGCCGGUACAACGGGAUGCGACGCGGCGACGCGGAGCGGAUCCCUGAAAACCGGUCUCAGUUCGGAUCGCAGUCUGCAACUCGACUGCGUGAAGGCGGAGUCGCUAGUAAUCGCGAAUCAGCAACGUCGCGGUGAAUGCGUUCCCG
RNAcentral lists this ribosomal RNA (1005 nucleotides) under uncultured bacterium. Its description in RNAcentral is "bacterial SSU rRNA". It matches the Rfam family "Bacterial small subunit ribosomal RNA", at positions 356 to 1376 of the family's 1533-position model. The record is from RNAcentral.